This 433-nucleotide ribosomal RNA is filed under the name uncultured bacterium. RNAcentral describes it as "partial 16S ribosomal RNA". It matches the Rfam family "Bacterial small subunit ribosomal RNA", at positions 29 to 507 of the family's 1533-position model. The record is from RNAcentral.
AACGAACGCUGGCGGCAUGCCUAACACAUGCAAGUCGAACGAGACCUUCGGGUCUAGUGGCGCACGGGUGCGUAACGCGUGGGAACCUGCCCUUAGGUUCGGAAUAACUCCCCGAAAGGGGUGCUAAUACCGGAUAAUGUCUUCGGACCAAAGAUUUAUCGCCUUUGGAUGGGCCCGCGUUGGAUUAGCUAGUUGGUAGGGUAAAAGCCUACCAAGGCGACGAUCCAUAGCUGGUCUGAGAGGAUGAUCAGCCACACUGGGACUGAGACACGGCCCAGACUCCUACGGGAGGCAGCAGUGGGGAAUAUUGGACAAUGGGCGAAAGCCUGAUCCAGUAAUGACGCGUGAGUGAUGAAGGCCUUAGGGUUGUAAAGCUCUUUUACCCGGGAUGAUAAUGACAGUACCGGGAGAAUAAGCUCCGGCUAACUCCGUG